Long non-coding RNA from Onychostoma macrolepis, 2521 nucleotides. RefSeq lists it as uncharacterized. The transcript is spliced from 7 exons. Lineage: Eukaryota; Metazoa; Chordata; Actinopteri; Cypriniformes; Cyprinidae. The record is from RefSeq and is a predicted model, not a curated record.
CCAUAAUAACCCUUGUCUCUGUGUGUUUUCAGCGUGUCCAGCUCCGAUAGUCGUAGUUAUUGUUUCUGUAGGAGGAUAUGAAGCAGUGACCCUGAACGCAACGUCUGGAAAAAUCACACGAAUGUGUUGGAUUACAAAUUUUUACAUUCACUACAUAGUGAACAUCGGCUACUACGCUUCAGUUUUCAUCUUCACGACAGGAAUCUUCAUCAUGAUCGUAACUAGGAUUGUCCAGACCAGAAACAUAAAAGCAACUGACGGCAAGAGAAAGACGUUCAGAAAGCAGCUGAUGAUGGUGUUGAGUUUGUUCGUGCUCUUCGGUCUGACGUGGUCUGUGGCGUUCUUCAGUUAUGGACCGAUGCGCAUUCCCUCAUAUUACAUAUUCACUGUGUUGAACUCGUUUCAGGGAUUUUUCCUCUUCCUGUAUUACUACCACAUUCACAAUGACGUCGCGGGUCAUUUCUCUGAUGAUCCAGAAAGCACCGACUCCAACACAACCAUCUCUCAAUCCAGCAUUACUGCUGUGGAAAAUAUUUAUAACUAGCAUAAUUAAGGCUUGCUUUGUCUCAGACUUUCUUUCUCUAAAUUAUGUUAUGACUCUAAAAGGGUCGAUUUUACUGAAAUCACUCAAAACAAAUGACAAAUAUCUGCUGAUUGUUAAAACUUGUAGAAGAAUUGAAUUGUGCUUUCAAAUCUCUGAUAUGAUCUGACAUUAUUGUUGUUCGAUUUGUUGAGCAUUAUAAUCAUACAUGUGUGAUCAUGUGCGUGUCAGAGCGACUCAAAUAACACUGAACCUUAUUUACAUCUUCAGGAUGACAGUAAUGUCCGCACACCUGUGGAUUCACACAUUUGCAUGGCCAUUUCAUAAAGCAGCUCACUAAAACCCACACGCACAGAUGAGAAACAUAUUUGGUUACUGGAAAUAUACUAUUUCAAAGUAUUUCUCAUGUGAUUCUAAUGGAGAUAAUAAAAUGUAAUUUUAUUAAUCAUGAUGAACUGACUCCAAAAUCAUUUUAUUCAUUUUAGUCACACUUAUAAAUAUGUGAAGUCAUUCAUUAGGUCACAAAAUAUUAACGCAAAUGUCACUUACUGUACAGAAAGGUGCACAAAGUGUAAAGUGUAAAAACACCACAUUUUCUGUAUCUAAACCAUGACAGAUAUCCACUAAUGAAAGCUACUUUUUCAUUAGCAUCUUAAAAUUCAUUCUGCUAUUUAACAUUUGUUUUCUAUAUUUAUAUAGUUACCUGUGAACAAAGGUGGCUUGAUAAACUGGUUCUGACUGUAACCAGAUACUGAAAUUCUCAUUUAAAGCCCAAAUAAACAUGAUUUGCAUGUUUUCAAAUGAACUGUAUGUCAGUGUCCAGCGGCUCAUAAUCAAAUGGCUUCAUUUGUGGACGCAUCAAACUCUCUCAACUCUUGGACUGUGGACUUUAUCUAAAGAAUGCCGCUGUCUCUGGGAAUUAUGUCUCGACAAAAGCAGAAUUUGCUGUGGCUGAUGAUCAUCUGUUGGUCUAUGUGCCAGAUAACCUGCUCAAAAAAACUGAAAAUCAGCAUCAGUUCGACCAAUCAAUGUUUCUUGAACCCAGCAAUUCCAGACACAGCACUAAUAUGUAACUUCCCUAAUGACAUAAAUAAUUUUCACAUAAAGAAUGUUAAACUAAACAUCUCUUCUCAAGGAGAAUGCAAAACAUACAGUUUCAAACUAACAGUUCAAGAGCAGAAAAUAGAAGUCAGAAUGAAAGAGUUGAAGCUGGCUGAAGACAUACGUCUGUCAUAUGUUCUAAAAACUAAAAAGUGUGAGCAAUUUAUCCUGAAUCAAGGUGCGUGUCAUCCUACAACAGACACCGUGUUAGUGUAGAAAGUCAAGUCACCUUUAUUUAUAUAGCGCUUUUACAAUACAGAUUGUGUCAAAGCACUUAACAGUAUCAAAUUGGAGGAUAGAGUGUCAGUAAUGUAUAAUGAUAAGAUUAAACACUCAAUUUUCAGUUAAAGGCAUUUCAUUAUUGAAUUCAGAGAUGUCAUUGUCUAGCUCAGUUUAGUUUAAAUAGUAUCUGUGCAAUCAAAUCGGCGAUAAUCGCUAGAAAUUAAGUGUCCCCAACUGAGCAAGCCAGAGGCGACAGCGGCAAGGAACCAAAACUCCCUCUGUGACAGAAUGGAGAAAAAAACCUUGGGAGAAACCAGGCUCAGUCGGGGGGCCAGUUCUCCUCUGACCAGACGAAACCCGCAGUUCAAAAGUUUAUAUUUCUAUUUUAAUUUUGUUGCAAUUUCUAACAAUAGUAGUAUUAUGUAGUUAGGUAUUUUAUUAUAUUUGAGUUAUUUUGUUAUUUUUGGUUGAUAUAUCUGGGGAUAUAUCUCUGGGGGUCAUCUGGGUGUGCUGGUCUCCGCUGACGAUCAGGGCUGUAGACAUCAUCUCUUGGUGCUGAUCCACCAUCUGAUCGGAUACGGACUGAGAAACAGACUAGGAAAGAAACAGACAAAUAUUAGCGUAGAUGCCAUUCAACUUACGAUGUAACGAGUACAU